AAAUUUGAAAAAUUAAAGUUCGAACUUCAGAUGUUGCAAAUCUCUUGAGAAUCAAACUGGCACCAUGACUUGGGUUUAUACUGCUUCAUGCAAAAUCUUUUGACUAAUGCUAUGUGGAUUGAUUUGGUGGAUAAUGGGUUGAUGGAUUGAAAGGAAUGAAAUUGAAAGUAGUUGCUUCA
Juglans microcarpa x Juglans regia is the source of this 179-nucleotide long non-coding RNA. RefSeq lists it as uncharacterized. The transcript has 3 exons. NCBI's taxonomy places the organism in Eukaryota, Viridiplantae, Streptophyta, Magnoliopsida, Fagales, Juglandaceae. The record is from RefSeq and is a predicted model, not a curated record.